Schistosoma margrebowiei is the source of this 45-nucleotide non-coding RNA. The record is from Rfam. NCBI's taxonomy places the organism in Eukaryota, Metazoa, Platyhelminthes, Trematoda, Strigeidida, Schistosomatidae.
AUCCAGCUGACCAGUCCUAAAUGAGAAGAAACGCGCGUCCUGGAU